Molecule: RNA transcript, 7971 nt
Organism: Maniola jurtina (meadow brown)
Lineage: Eukaryota; Metazoa; Arthropoda; Insecta; Lepidoptera; Nymphalidae
Gene: cN-IIIB
Gene name: 7-methylguanosine phosphate-specific 5'-nucleotidase
Exons: 7
Source: RefSeq, a predicted model, not a curated record
AAAUUGUAAUCACUUGACGGCAAUAAAUUGUGUUUUUGUGAUCAUAUUUCGUAAAUUCUUAAAAUUGAUAAAAAAAUACGAGGAAAGGUGGUUUUUAUUUUCAGGAUUACAUAAACUAAGAAGGUUUUAGACUACGUUUUAAAAUAGAGAGUAGCUGUUGUCUGAAAAAUACGAGACAUGAAGAUCUUAACAGACCUAAAUGAAAUAAAAGAACUCGAGAGACCUAACGUCCACAUACGGAAUAAGGAUGAACUGCUGAGAAAAAUAAAUCAAAUUAUACGUGAUGGCCCUGAGAAACUACAGAUAGUUACAGAUUUUGAUCAUACAUUGACGAGGCAUAAUAUGGAUAAUGGCAAGAUAGUACUAACUAGUUUUGGCAUGUUCCGAGAAUGUCCAUCAGUACCACAACAGUACAAGGAUGAAGAACUAAGACUGGCGGAGAAGUACAAGCCCAUUGAAGUUGACCCUGUGAUGAGUGUAGAGGAGAAAACUAAACAUAUGGUUGCCUGGUAUUUGGCUGCACACAAGUUACUGAAAGGUGUAAAAUUCCCAAGAAAUGAACUUAUUGAAGUGGGACAGAAAAUGGUCGAAUGUUUUAGGACGGGUGUUUCGGAGCUGAUCGCGUGGAGCUCGCGGCAGGCGGUGCCGGUGCUGGUGUUCUCGGCCGGGCUGGGCGACAGCGUGGUGGCCGCGCUCAGCGCUGCCAGCUUUCUGCGGCCCCACGUUAAAGUAAUUUCAAACUUCCUCGCGUUGGACGAAAACGACUCAGUGAUCGGAAUCGCAGGGGACGUGAUCCACACGUACAACAAGAACGAGGCGGCCAUAAAGGGCACGGAAUACUACGAAAUGGUCAAAACGCGUAACAACGUUCUCUUACUGGGGGAUAACAUCGGCGACGCGGGGAUGGCGGAAGGGAUGGAGCAUUGUGACGUCAUCGUCAAGAUAGGCUUCCUAGGCCGCAACACGGAGGCUAACCUACAAAACUACACCAACAAAUUCGAUAUAGUCUUGGUUAAUGAGCACACUAUGGACGUAGCUAAUGCAAUUUUGAAACUAGUGCUGUGAAUUUUUACUAGGUAAUUAAUCUAGCGUUGUUGUUCAAUUAAUUUUUUUUUUUUUUACUCAAUUUGAGUAUACAUGUUAAAAUUGUUAUAAUGAUUUGCUCAGGUCAUAAUAAUUAGUCAUAGAGCGUAGCUAAAGCUAUUAUUAUUAUUAUUGAUUUAUUUCCAUGUCUUGCACGAAAAAAAUUUGGCAGGUCCCAACCAAAUAUACUUUAAGUAUUUGUUUUGCAAAAAUUUAUAAUAUUAUUUCGAGUUACGAUUUUAUUCGUCCGCGUCCGGGUAAAAUAGAGGUCCUUGUUUAAAAUUAAAGUCACCAUUUUUUUUCGCUAAAUUGAGUGAGUUGUGUUAUUAUAUGGAAAAACUCGACGCUCAAAUUUCGUUUUCCUGCAAGACAAGAUGAAAACGUUAAAUUGCAAUGCAAUUUUUUUUUAAUAAUAUACAAUAUAUUAAAGUUCCGAUGCUUUUAUGAUUAUAAAUGUGAUUGGAAAAUUGUUUUUAUGCUAAUUAAUGUAGUUAGGGAACUUCUAACAUUCUGCUCGGUAAACAUUAAUUUUACGUUAGUGCCAAUUUGGUUGUACAAAAAUCACCAAACUAAACCUCCAUCCACAAGAAGUUAGUGUGAGGAUCUCUCUGUUACGUGUAUUCAAAUGACAGGGACGAAAAUCUCAGUGGGUGUUAACAAUUUUGAUCCACCAACCAAUCGCAAACAUAACUUUGUUUACGAAUCGAAUGUUUUUUGAAAACAUGUUUGUGAUUGGUUGGUGAGUCAAUAUGCUUAACAAAGCCCUCUGAGAUUUUCGUUUCUGUCAUUUAUAUGGGAUUAUUAUGUAACAGAGAGAGAUUUUUACUUUUUUCCGUGGAUAGAGUAUAGUAUAAGAUGAAACCACUAUUUUUCGGUUAUCAUCGUCUUUUCAAUGAAGUUUAGAAGUUUUUUAAUUCAAUGCAGUUUAGAGGUUUUUGCACUACCAAAAUAUACCAUUGUGUAUUUAAUAUUUUGAUGAAAAAUGGUUUGUGUCUUAACAUAUCUGGAAUCUCCAAUACUAACAAAUUAUAUCAUACUCAAAAGACCUCAACACUAGCCAAAUAAUAUUACGAUUAAUUUAGCCAAUAAGGUUAUCUAAGGCGCGCUUUAUACAGAAGUGUCGAGGCGCAGAUAUGUCCGCUUCAUUAUUCGAUUCGGCGCCGAUUCUGAUGUUUUUCUCUAGACUAAAUUUAAAGUAUCUGCAUCUUUUUCUUUUUAAUAUUGCUACAGUAGGACGGAAGAUGAAUUAUAAAUUAAAUACCAUAAAUUUUAGUGCUACUAAACAAUACUUAGGCUCACGACUGACAUCUAGUCAUGAGAUUUGACAGUUUUAUAUUAAAUUAAGUUUGUCUGUCUUUUUCUUAUAAAAUUGGUAAGAAAAAGACGAGAAUACUUUAAAAUUUAGUUGCGAUCAGAAUCAGUACCAUUUGCCGUAUGAAGUUUGAAAUAUCGACGUGGGUGCGAAUGGCGUCACCGCCAUGCCAAGUCUUUGAAUUUAUAUUAUUGUUAAAUUAGCGAAACGAUUAACGCCUUUAUGCUAACGCAUAAAGUACGAAUGCGUCACUGCUAAAGACGUUACAGGCGUGUUCUUAAACUUGGUAGCUAGUCAGCCAAACGAAAACAGAGACUGGAAAAGCGCGGUAUGUUCAAAAUUAACAGACCUGACUUAUUUUGAUACUUUACAAUUCCUUUAUUUGAAUUUCUGUUCUGUCAAAAUAGGUUAUUCCAGGUCUAUUUAUUGGGGCUGCCAUACUGAUUAACAUAUUGUUUUGAAUUAGCCGCGCUUUUCCAGUCUAGUAGGCCAGAUUCUAAUAGCUAUCCUUUGCAUAAAAACACGUCUUGUUUGCAGUAACGUUUAUUAGCAACUUUUGGAAUACUUCAUUAUAAUAAUGCUGUAUGAACGGACCAAUAUUAUAUUUCCGUCGCUUGCCACUUCUGUUUAAAUAGCAACUACUUUGAAAAGUUUUCAGGGCGGAAAAUAAAACAAGUUUUGUAAUGAAAUUAAAUAUUUUGUUAUUAUUAUUAUAAAACAACACCUAUGAAUAUAAAUGUAUUUUCUAGUCACCACAGUGCUUGUUUCUGCGUUGUCUUCAUACACACUAAAUGCGGGCGCAUCCGUACAUCGCGUCCGCGUCCAUACAAUAAAAUACUAUAAUUAUUACCAAACCUUUUAAUCUGAAUUUGCAACUUUCGUUUGACUGUGCACAGUGACUCGCAAGUGUUGGUAGGCAUAAAGUUUGGUUUACAUAACAUCUUAAGUCUGCAAGUCCGAAUCUGUCAUUUUAAAAGCUACUCGUAUUUGUAACUAGUGUUGGGGAUAGCGAGUUUGAAUCCCGAGCAGAUUCAUAGGGACUAGUUCCUUUUCUAGGAGAUACUUGAUCUUAAACCAAUGAAAAAUAAUACGAGGUACGGAUGUCGGAUGCAUAUAACUAAGAAAACAGGGCAAGUAUAGUUUGAUUCAAUCUUUUUAGCGACUGAGAAGUAAGCUGUAAGGAAAGACUAAUGGAAAAUAUGUCUCUGUGACUAACUUCUCGAUCGCCAAUAAGUUUAAAUCAUACUUAUAUUAAAUAAUAUUUGCCAUUAUACGUUUUAAAAACGUCUAAAAUGCAGGAAGAUCGAUUUCAAACGACUACAGCUUUCCAUGAAAGUUAAAAAUGCACUGUCGUUAUUCUAGUCAAGCAAGGCGAAUCAAGCUCAAUAUCACGGUGCAACCAGUGACUGACAAACCACUAUGCAUGAUCUGUACCCUCAGUAUGAGAUUUUACUUCUCACCAACGUUGAUAGUACAUAUUUUAGAGUCGAAACACUAGCUUUUAAGUAAAAUGGUCCUUAACUGCCUUGAUUCUAUUAACGGUGAGAUUUAAAAUCUUAUACCAAGGCUUCUGAUCCGAAUCCUUGAACAACGGUUCUUCGACUCAAUUUAUCGGACCAUUGCACAAGCAGUCGUAUCGCUCAUUCUUCGUGGCACGUAUUGUUCCACGAGUUGAUAAAAAUAGCGAAACUAUUCGUUGAUAGGACUAGGCGAAUUAAUUUAAAAUACUGUUUGAUUACACGCUUUUUAUAAUACAAAACGGUAACUAACAUAAUAUUCUGAACACUGAAAGUAUAGCUUUUUUUACAAUUAAAUGCCUAAAAUAUAGUUUAAAAUGUUUGAAAAAAAAAAAAAACGAAAAAAUGCAUUGUUUUUACUAUAGUUUACUUGAUUAUGGCAAAUUAAAUCAUUGGUUUCUUGUUACCUCAGACUAUAAAAAGAUAUGAUUUUACACGAGACAUCCAACUGUGGUCGGUGUAUGCCUGACUCGUUCCGAACGCCGCCCGCAGUCUUCGGCAUGAUUAAGGAUGGGUUCGAAACUACUCUAUCCGCGGCAAGAACUUAGUAUAGCACCUGUUACGUAAUCCCAUACAAAUGAUAGAGACAAAAAUCUCAGUGGACGUUAACCAUUUUUAGUCACCAACCAAUCACAAACGAAGCUAUGUUUACGAAUUGAAUUUGGAAUGUUUUCAAUGUGACUCAAUAUAGUUAUUAUAGCACACUGAGAUUUACAUUUCUUCACAAACAAACAUACUUCCAAAAACAUUAGAACGUUGGUGACUCGAAGCGCCCACAGAUUUUUGCCUGUAUCAUUUGUAUGGAAUUACGUGACAGAGAAAAUUAUUGCUCUACUAACUUCUUUCCGCGAAUAGAAUAUAGCUCUUAUAUUUACCGCCCAAGUUUAGCCGUAGUAAGUUCUACAAAAUAUAUUCUACAUAAUAUAUAUCUCAAUCUAUAGUCCGAGUUUACAUUAAAUCGCGCUAAUGCGUAUUAAAGUAUCACUAUGUUAUUUGACGUCUAAAAAUUAUAAUUUGUUGCUAGACUAUAAACAAAUAAAUCAUUAUUAAUAGUGUCAAAAAUCGGCAUAACCAAAUCCCCUCGCGUCCUAAUGGCUCUCGCUUAGGUAUAGGGUAUAUUAUGGUCAGACAUUAAGACAAAUUACUACCUCAUUGUAACUAGACAUAGAUUUACUAUUUAAAUUUUAAAUACAUAUUGUCAAAUAUUUGUGAUGCAGAUAUUGUGAGAUAUGCCAAUUUUUGAACACUCGUCAAAUAUCUGUUAAAAUAUCAAAGUUCAUAAUUAAUUACAUGAUUUGAAUUACUAUGAAAUAUAUUGUAACAGUUUUAUUACAAGUUUUGAUUUACAGCCACUUUGGAAGAAGGACCUUUAACUUUCAUUAGAAACGAUAACACAUUAGCCGCUAAGCGGAAUUUGUGGAGAUCGCGCUUAGACUAUAAACUUCGAUUAGCCAGGCUAGUCAUACGGAUAUCAGUUAAUCCAAGCGCUAUAUUACCGACGAACUAGGCGAGUAUGAACGCGCUUUAGGGAUUACUCCCGUUAGACCGUGCGGGCUUGAGCGCGGUCAAAAGCCACAUUAGACCGUGCCAUAUUCGAGUCUUCCGAGCCCUGUCCAAAUUACAUUUCUUCGUGUAAAAUUCCAAUCCAUGAAUGGUUCGCGCAUCGAAGUGGCAUGGUCUAACGUGAAAUCGUACAGACUGCCGUAUAGUUUGUUUCAGAAGAACCGAAUGGGCUGCAGGAAUGGCGAUACGUCAGUGCUUGUGUAUGCGCUUGUACUGGUCUUACCUACAAUCCGCGAAAGUGAAAGGUGACGGAAUUAACCAAUGCGGCCGUGGGUAUAGAUGCUCGAAAUCAAUGAAUCACCCACUGCGCAGGUACAAGCUCUGCUCUUUUCACGUGAAACGAACUAUACGUAGCGAUCAUUUAGCGGCAGGUGCCAGAGUCCACGCGCACUGUUGUAGCAAACGACUCUACUUUCCAACAAGCGGGUCUUAAUGUUCAAUAUUAUAAUUAUUAUUAUGGCAAGAUGCCCAGACACUACAGCGAAGUAUCAAUAUGACUGGAAAAUACAUAUUUCAUCGAUACCCUAUUUAGUAAUUACUUUUUAACUAAACUCAACAAAUUAAAAGCUCUAAAAUAAACAACAGUCUUAGAACAUACAAAGUAUAUUUACACAAAUAUUUUAUUUAGGUAUAUAAAAAUAUCCUACUGUACAUAUAACAAUUAUCCAUUGUAGAAAUAUAUAUAUUUUUAAUGUAUGUACAACUAGAAACAGUAUUAAAAAUAGUCAAAUCUUUAGGAAUCAUCUAGAGUCUAGACAUAGGCAGAGUCGUGAGCGGGAAAUACACUGGUCGCUUGUAGGCAAGGCACUUUGUAAUACUUGUUAAUCGAGCUUUUGUACGCUAUUUGUAUUCUUGUAACUCCAAUAAAACAAGCUGAUAACAAUGUAUUUUAUUUUAUCCUUAAUAUUUUCCUACAGAACGAGACGGCAUGCCGCAUAAAAAUAAGGGUUAGAACUUAGAAGGAAAUGGAAUGUGAUAUUUUUUGAACACAUCGCAACAAGUGUAUUUCUCACAUUCUGAACCAAAUCGAAUAACUUCUGAAAAAUAUAAACGACAAUAUCUCAAAUCGAAUAAUGCCCUCAUGUUAAUCGAUUAUCAACAAGAUAUUACAAAGAACUACUUACCUAAUGAAAAUAUUAUCAGUGAUUCGAAAGGCGCCAGAAAGUACAUUGAGUUUAAAAACUACCUCAAAGAUUAAAUAGGUAACCGUAGAUACGUCAUACAUUCAGAAGUUAUAAGUUAAGGCGAGAUGAGGAUGCCUAAACGCGUUCAGUCUCCGACAAGGCAAGUACGCUACAAGCUAUGACACGAAGGAAGCCAGAUUGUCUAGUUCACACGAGCUCAUACAAAAAUACCUCACUCUACAGUCAAGGUUACAAUCUCUAUCACACAAACAUAAAUGAACACGAAAGAACGCAGCGGUUUCUGAAACCACUGUGCAGAGCCUCGAGUAAUUUUUUGCGUCAAAACUUAAGUGAGAAGUUUUGUAUACUCAAAAACUACCUCAAGGCUUAAUUAGGGCUAAGUGUACACGACCGCAGCCUUUUAUUUGAAAACGAAUGUAGUAUUAAUGGUUAUAUGAUCACAAAUAUAGUAAACUGGUCGAUGAGUUUAAAGAUUUUAAACAUAACCAUAAAUGAAAGCUGGAUUCCUGAACACUAAUAUCUUUAUUUGCAAAAAUUAUGGGUGUAAGGUUACUUUUCUGAUUGUAAUUUUUGUAAGCAGUAUAACUCAUAUUCAUUCUAACCAUUGAAGUAAGUAACUAUUUCAAAGGCUUAUUAAACAUAGUUGAAUGCUCGAAUAUUCAAAUAGCAUCAAUAUACUCGAGUUGACGUUUCAAUAAUACUGAAUUGAAUAAGACUUUGAGGUCAACAAAACCGGCAGAUCUCUGUGAAACUCAGUCCUUGCAUACAACAGGCUAUUUAUCUAGGUACCUAUUAGUAAUGCAUUUCCACUCUGCGUUUAUUUACCAAUAGCAUGCCAGUAAUAAACGUAGAUGGAGUAGAAUUAGAAUUAAAUAAAUUAAACCAAAGGAUUAAAUAUAGACAGUAAAGCGAGACACCAUAAUGUCGUCUGAGAAGAGACUAUGCCUCUAGUAUGAACACAUCUCGAAUAGUUUGCGUCAGUUAUAAUAAAGUUAGUAAGCUGAGUGAUUACCGAGCUCUCUCUAUGGUCUCGAUAUCAAUUUUCAUUUUCUAAUUUCAAUCUCGUACUAGGGGUGUGUGUCAUUGUCACAUUACAGAUCCGAGGCUCUUCAUCUUUCUAAAUUAAUAACAAUUCAAAUUAAGCUUCAUUUCCUUUACCACAAGGACAGCACGCGGUUUUCCAUGUUUUCUCUUCGGUAUAUCAUUUUCAACCAUAUGUCAAAGGUCAUAAGGCUAAGAUUAGGUAGAUAUCAAAAAGACCCCACUACUCCGUCGGUAUACGUCAUGUCAGCCAUUAUGAAUACAUAUUUUGUUCGCGAAAUCUGUCUAUAUUUUUCCUCAAGUAUGUAAA